RNAcentral lists this long non-coding RNA (700 nucleotides) under Ananas comosus (pineapple). RNAcentral describes it as "long non-coding RNA (ACOM_LNC025834)". The record is from RNAcentral. Lineage: Eukaryota; Viridiplantae; Streptophyta; Magnoliopsida; Poales; Bromeliaceae.
UCAGAGAGGUAAAAAGAUAACGUGCUACGUACCUGUUUCAUUUAUUUUUUAAAAAAACAAGCUUAGGUGGUAAAUCAAUUAGGAUUUGAAUUUGAAACCUCAGGUAAUUAAACCAUGUAAUGACUCGAGUAAACCAAUCUGAAUGUUGGCAAAAUAUCUAUAUUAUCUAUACAUUAUUUUUCAUAAAUUUGCCACAGGGCAACGUUUUCUUUAUUAUUGUUGAGUGUAGGCUCCAUCCCGAAUCCGCUCAAGUCCUUCCUCUUUUUUUACUUAAACCGAACCGAUCAUUGUUGAUUGCAUUGGGCCGAACCGACCUAAACGCUCCAUAUAUUUUUAUCUUUGAACUAAAUUUUUUUUCUUCUUUUGCUUGAAUUGAACUGAUCACUAUCGAGUGUGGGCUCCACUCCGAACCAGAUGAAGUUUUCUUCUUUCUUUGUUUGAACCGAACCGAAUUUCCUCUUUUUUUUUUUUUGCUUGAACCGAUCCGAAUCAUAUUUCUGUAUUAUGCCGAACUGUUCCUCUAGCUUUCUCUUCCUUUGACUGUUACCUUCGGUCAUCGGCAAGAUAAAUUCCACCUCUCAUCAUCGCUUCUUUUAUCGUCAUUUCCUCUUCUUUUAUCAUUAUUUUCUAUUUUUUCUUCAAUUAUCUACCGGACGUAUUGCACGGGUUACUACAUAUAUAGUAUUACAUCAAUAUGUGA